Molecule: long non-coding RNA, 1896 nt
Organism: Seriola aureovittata
Lineage: Eukaryota; Metazoa; Chordata; Actinopteri; Carangiformes; Carangidae
Exons: 4
Source: RefSeq, a predicted model, not a curated record
ACAACAGAGCCGUUGGGCCGAGUGAGGAUGACGCGGUGGAGGAUCAAAGAGAGAGGCGGGAAAAAGGAUUCAGAAAUGACACUAUCAACCUGGACUGUUUCCAAAACUCAGCCUGCUAGCAUUAGCAAUGAGCCUGGGGAGGACGAUGCUAACGUCGUAGCGGAGGAGGAGAGUAACGGCAGCCACGGAAGUUCAGCUGAGCUACACUCACCUGUUCAACCGCUCCACCCUCACCUGCACCGGAGCUCACACCGAGGCGGAGACCCGGUACCGGAGCCAUAAAAUCCAGGAAGAAAGCAGAGGGAACUUCCAUCCUGUUACCUACAGGGACACCGUGGGUCUGGAGGAGGGGACUGGAAGAGGAGUCAGGGUGGACGACAUCAAACUGGCCACGAUGGGACAUGUGGAGGAGGGUUACAAGGAUCCAGAGCAGCAGAGCUCGGCAAUGAAGGCUCAGACGGCUGGCUCCUUCGUGGUCAAACCUAUCCCAAGAUUCAUUGUGCGCCGGGAAUGAAAGCAAACAGCACUGACAGAGAGCCACUUUUAAAUGGCUGCCUCCAUCCCCUCUUCCCAUGGCACAGUCAGCUCAACCAGCAGCAUUGAUUUUAUGUCCAUCGCCCAGAGCACCAUGUUCUGUCACAGUGUGGUGCUGCAGGUCUCUAAUGGAAAAUGUAGCUGCCUGCCCUGGUCCACCUCCAUCCUCCACUCUGCUCCUGACAAGAGAAGCGUGGGUGCUGGUCUCCCACUGGUGAUGUCUGUGGGUUCCCCUUGCCUCCUUCUCUCCACCACCUCUGCCGGCUUCCUCAGCACUGGAUCAUGUAACUUGGCUGGUUGUCGCAGGCAUACAACCACGAGGCGAUAAUUGUAGUUUUUACCUACAUGUUUACAUUUUAGGAAAUAAUCCCCAUUAAAACUAUUCUCAAUCAGCUGUGAUCAGCUCCUGUUUGCAGUGUAGCUAUGGAUGUACAGUCAACUGUCACUGGAUCACUGAUACUGAAGAAAACUUAAAAACAUGAGGAUUCUCAUCCAGGUUCUGCAGUUAAUAGGGUUUUUGGAUGUGUUAUUUGCCAUUGACACAACAACUGAUGUUAUCCCCUAGAAGUGUUUGUGAUUCACAGUGAAUCUAAAAGUGUGAUGUAUCAUGUCUGUGUUCAGGUUUGACUGAGUUAUGACUCAGAGAAGAAGGAUUGUGAUUUUAGAUGGAAAUUUCGACAAGUUCUGCUCAGGAUGUAAAAUAAAGUAGCCUACUUCUUUCUGAAACAAACAUAAAAUAUAAACAGCAUGCAGGCAAAAUUAAAGUGCAUUUUCUUUAACAAAGGAAAAAAUUAAGUUUCAAUAGCAUAUGCUUUGGAUGAAUACCUAUGGCUUGUUAUGAAGCAUUGUCAGUAGAUUCUUUUUAAUAAUGUUCUGUUCCUGUGUUCAUCCAUGAUGCUGAACUAGUGCUCACUCUCCACACUUGUGCAGGUGCAGACAGGUCAGCUCUUGUGUUGCGUGUCGACACUGAACAGGUGGGAGGCGGGACUAAACUACACAGUUCUUCUCAGCCACAGACAACAGAGUAUUAACCACAGGUGAUUGGUUUUAAGGUGAUUGCUGACUAGAAACAUUAAUUCUUAACUACCAAUCAUGUGUUUCAAUUUAAAACUCAUUCCUAUAAUGGUGCGAGCAUCAUAUAUCCAGUAUUAGCUGGAUUGUAGCCUGUACAUACUCAACAUUUGCAUAAUAAUUUUGCCUGAGUUCACUGAAUCAAUAGUCUUUCAGGAAUUUUAAUUUCACUGUUGAAGUGUCAUGGCUGAGAGUGAACUUCCUUCAUUCUGCCUGAAAGUAAAAAUCCAGGAUUUUUCUCAGUCAUAUUGCAAAAGAUCUGAUUUAGUGGUUAAUCCUCUUCUUCUUUGC